Camelina sativa (false flax) is the source of this 253-nucleotide non-coding RNA. Lineage: Eukaryota; Viridiplantae; Streptophyta; Magnoliopsida; Brassicales; Brassicaceae. The record is from RefSeq and is a predicted model, not a curated record.
GUGCAAUCUAAAAGUUUUUGAAAGAAAGUGACUAUUUGAUCAAAAACAUGAAUUUUGAUUAUGGAGAUACUAAAAUUAUAUGGCCAACAGCAGAUCACAAUGUCACUAUAGUCUGGCUUCACGAUAUCGGACAUAAUGGCAGAGACUCAGCUAGAUUUGUACGUCAACUGAAUCUUCCAAAUGUAAAAUGGAUUUGUCCGACUGCUCCAGUACGUCCUGUCACUUCCUAUGGUGGAACAGAAUAUACUGCUUG